GUAGGCCUGAUGGAUGUGGAGAAGGGAUGCUUAGUGCUUAGUUGAGAAUUAGAGACUGGGCUGGUUGCCACUGGAUUUCUUGAGACAUCUAAAUUAGCAUCACAACUGUUCUCACUUGCGUUGCUCCAAGAACCCUGAUCAGUUUCUUUCUUUGGGUUAGCUUCAAUACAAUUUGACUCUCUACCUCUUAGAGCCAUUAACUCUGCAUG
RNAcentral lists this unclassified non-coding RNA (209 nucleotides) under Hevea brasiliensis (rubber tree). Lineage: Eukaryota; Viridiplantae; Streptophyta; Magnoliopsida; Malpighiales; Euphorbiaceae. The record is from RNAcentral.